RNAcentral lists this ribosomal RNA (565 nucleotides) under Neisseria subflava. RNAcentral describes it as "bacterial SSU rRNA". It matches the Rfam family "Bacterial small subunit ribosomal RNA", at positions 28 to 582 of the family's 1533-position model. Lineage: Bacteria; Pseudomonadati; Pseudomonadota; Betaproteobacteria; Neisseriales; Neisseriaceae. The record is from RNAcentral.
AUUGAACGCUGGCGGCAUGCUUUACACAUGCAAGUCGGACGGCAGCACAGAGAAGCUUGCUUCUUGGGUGGCGAGUGGCGAACGGGUGAGUAACAUAUCGGAACGUACCGAGUAAUGGGGGAUAACUAAUCGAAAGAUUAGCUAAUACCGCAUAUUCUCUGAGGAGGAAAGCAGGGGACCUUUUGGCCUUGCGUUAUUCGAGCGGCCGAUAUCUGAUUAGCUAGUUGGUGGGGUAAAGGCCUACCAAGGCGACGAUCAGUAGCGGGUCUGAGAGGAUGAUCCGCCACACUGGGACUGAGACACGGCCCAGACUCCUACGGGAGGCAGCAGUGGGGAAUUUUGGACAAUGGGCGCAAGCCUGAUCCAGCCAUGCCGCGUGUCUGAAGAAGGCCUUCGGGUUGUAAAGGACUUUUGUCAGGGAAGAAAAGGCUGUUGCUAAUAUCGACAGCUGAUGACGGUACCUGAAGAAUAAGCACCGGCUAACUACGUGCCAGCAGCCGCGGUAAUACGUAGGGUGCGAGCGUUAAUCCGAAUUACUGGGCGUAAAGCGAGCGCAGACGGUUAC